RNAcentral lists this ribosomal RNA (498 nucleotides) under uncultured bacterium. RNAcentral describes it as "partial 16S ribosomal RNA". It matches the Rfam family "Bacterial small subunit ribosomal RNA", at positions 28 to 507 of the family's 1533-position model. The record is from RNAcentral.
GACGAACGCUGGCGGCGUGCCUAAUACAUGCAAGUCGAACGAGAGCGACCGGUGCUUGCACUGGUCAAUCUAGUGGCGAACGGGUGAGUAACACGUGGGUAACCUGCCCAUCAGAGGGGGAUAACAUCCGGAAACGGAUGCUAAAACCGCAAAGGUCUUCGAACCGCAUGGUUUGAAGAGGAAAAGAGGCGCAAGCUUCUGCUGAUGGAUGGACCCGCGGUGCAUUAGCUAGUUGGUGAGGUAACGGCUCACCAAGGCCGUGAUGCAUAGCCGACCUGAGAGGGUGAUCGGCCACAUUGGGACUGAGACACGGCCCAAACUCCUACGGGAGGCAGCAGUAGGGAAUCUUCCGCAAUGGACGCAAGUCUGACGGAGCAACGCCGCGUGAGUGAAGAAGGUUUUCGGAUCGUAAAACUCUGUUGUUAGAGAAGAACAAGUGCUAGAGUAACUGUUAGCGCCUUGACGGUAUCUAACCAGAAAGCCACGGCUAACUACGUG